AGAGUUUGAUCCUGGCUCAGGACGAACGCUGGCGGCGUGCUUAACACAUGCAAGUCACGGGGGGUAGCAAUACCAACCGGCGAACGGGUGCGUAACACGUGAGCGACCUGCCUCCCCGCGGGGGAUAGCCGGCCCAACGGCCGGGUAAUACCGCAUACGCUUCUUCCGGGGCAUCCCGGGGGAAGGAAACCUCCGGGGCGGGGAGAGGGGCUCGCGGCCUAUCAGCUAGUUGGCGGGGUGACGGCCCACCAAGGCGGCGACGGGUAGCUGGUCUGAGAGGAUGGCCAGCCACAUUGGGACUGAGAGACGGCCCAGACUCCUACGGGAGGCAGCAGUGGGGAAUCUUGCGCAAUGGCCGCAAGGCUGACGCAGCGACGCCGCGUGGGGGAGGAAGGGCUUCGGCUCGUAAACCCCUGUUGCCCGGGGCGAACAUCCCGUUUCGACGGGACUGACGGUACCGGGUGAGGAAGCACCGGCUAACUCCGUGCCAGCAGCCGCGGUAAUACGGAGGGUGCGAGCGUUGUCCGGAAUCACUGGGCGUAAAGGGCGCGUAGGUGGCCCGUCAAGCGCGCGGUGAGAGCCCGGGGCUCAACCCCGGGUCGGCCGUGCGGACUGGCGGGCUCGAGCACUGUAGGGGCGGGUGGAAUUCCGGGUGUAGCGGUGGAAUGCAGAGAUCCGGAAGAACACCGGUGGCGAAGGCGGCGCUGGGCAGGAAGACGGGCGCAAGUCCGUCGGCUGACACUGAGGCGCGACAGCGUGGGGAGCAAACAGGAUUAGAUACCCUAGUAGUCC
Molecule: ribosomal RNA, 792 nt
Filed under: uncultured bacterium
Lineage: Bacteria
Description: bacterial SSU rRNA
Rfam family: Bacterial small subunit ribosomal RNA
Source: RNAcentral